This 200-nucleotide unclassified non-coding RNA is filed under the name uncultured Sebacinales. Its description in RNAcentral is "sequence contains ITS2". The record is from RNAcentral. Lineage: Eukaryota; Fungi; Basidiomycota; Agaricomycetes; Sebacinales.
UAAUCUCACCUCUUCGACUUUGUCGAUCAGUGUGGACUUGGAUGUUGCCGUGUAACAAACGGCUCGUCUGAAAUUCCUGAGUGUACCCUGCUUUGCGGCGUAUUCGGUGUGAUAAAUCUUCACCGGAGUCUGACUUUCGAGUCGCGCUUGUAUUGUAUGGCUCUAUGCUUCCAACCGUCCUAACAAGACAAUGUUUGACA